Molecule: ribosomal RNA, 254 nt
Filed under: uncultured bacterium
Lineage: Bacteria
Description: partial 16S ribosomal RNA
Rfam family: Bacterial small subunit ribosomal RNA
Source: RNAcentral
UACGGAGGAUCCAAGCGUUAUCCGGAAUUACUGGGCGUAAAGAGUUGCGUAGGUGGCACUGUAAUCAGGUAGUGAAAGCCUGGGGCUCAACCCCUUACACAUUAUCUGAACUGCAGAGCUAGAGGACAAGAGAGGUACCUGGAAUUCCUAGUGUAGGAGUGAAAUCCGUAGAUAUUAGGAGGAACACCGAUGGCGUAGGCAGGGUACUGGCUUGUUCCUGACACUAAGGCACGAAAGCGUGGGGAGCGAACGGG